This 76-nucleotide small RNA is filed under the name Xanthomonas arboricola pv. juglandis. RNAcentral describes it as "sX9 sRNA". It matches the Rfam family "Xanthomonas sRNA sX9". The record is from RNAcentral. Lineage: Bacteria; Pseudomonadati; Pseudomonadota; Gammaproteobacteria; Lysobacterales; Lysobacteraceae.
AUGCACCACGCGUACAUUCCGGUUCCUGCGCGCCGUCCGCACCCACCUGACGACUGCCCGCUCCGUUUUGUCAGUC